Felis catus (domestic cat) is the source of this 1649-nucleotide long non-coding RNA. RefSeq lists it as uncharacterized. Lineage: Eukaryota; Metazoa; Chordata; Mammalia; Carnivora; Felidae. The record is from RefSeq and is a predicted model, not a curated record. The transcript has 3 exons.
GUGCUAUCAGUGUAGAUAUCGAGGCUGGGCUUGAACUCCUCAACUGUGAGAUCAUGACCUGAGCCUAACUCAAGAGUCCGAUGCUUAACCGAUUGAGCUACCCAGGCGCCCCAUUUAUUAUCGUUCUUAUAUCAAGAAUGCUCUGUCAUCUCCCGAAACCUCAUGUCUGAACCUGUGUUCCAACCGGCCUUAAUAGGCCCUCUGUUUGCUACGAAGAACACGUUUUAUCAUUGGUCAAAUCUGGAAAACAAAUCCCUGGUCUAAAUUUCUGGAUUCUAAGCCCAAAUCCUCUAAUGUUCAGAGGCCGAGGGCUUUGAGAAGGAGAAGAGAUGGAAGGCGCCCCGGAAGGAGACAGUAGAGCACAGUGAUUGAAAGCACAAGCAUAGGAAUCAGUUUUAUGCUCUGCGAUCCUGGACAAGGAGCAGUUUUUCUGAACCUGUUUUGUCACCUGUAAAAUGAGUGAAGGCUUAGAUAUUGCGGUUUAUGAGAAAUAUGUAUGUGGUCAUUUGAAUAACCAAAUGCACCUUAUGUAUUUCAUCUUCAUUCACAGUUUCAGGCUCACAGCCCCUAAAACCCUUGGAAUUUCCUAAGUGAAGAGAGCUUAAAAGGUGUCUUGUUAUGUUAAUGAGGUCACUUUUGGAAAACCCCAGGGUAGCCUAAAGAUGGGAGCUGGUUGCCAGGGGAACCAACCAAGUGAUGAAAGGGUAGGGACUUUUAGCCCCACCCCCUGACUCAGGGGAGGGGAGGGGCAGGGGGUGAAGCAGCCAAUGACCAAUAACUUAAUGUUGCUUCCGUUAUGAAGCCUCCCAUAAAAACCCAAAAAAGAGGGUUUCGGAGACCUUCCGGUUGGUGACCACGUGGAGCGGCGGGGAGAGUGGCGGCCUGGCGAGGGCAGGGAAGCUGGGGGGAAGCUGCCCGCCCGCCCUGCACCCCUCCUCCCCGGUAACGCGCCCGCCUGGCCGUGUUCCCGAGUCCUAGCCUUUCUGACUCACCCCGCGAUCUGGUAAGGAAGCCGGUUUUCUAAGUUCUGUGAGCCGCUCCGGCAUCUUACUCGGACCCAAGGAGGGCGCUGUGGGAACCUUUGCCGCGGGCAGUCCAAGAUGGCAGCAUAGGAGGAUCCUGAAUUCACCUCCUUGUAUGAACAUACCGAGUCUACAGCUCCACGUGGAACAGUUCCCUCUGAAAACCAGAUGAACAACUUCUUCUCAACAAACAAUAGAAGGGCCGCAUCGGGACAGACUCCAUUCAUCAAUGGCUUGGUAUUUACCCACAAUUGGUAAAGCAAGUGCGUAUGAACGUGAUGGAGAGAGGGGGAAAUACUGCUUGCUGAGCAACUUCUAUUUAAUCCAGCACGAUCCUCUAGACAAUUCACAUCUAUCAACUCAUGACCCUCAUGAAUUUGCAUGGUUGAGGUUCGUAGAUCCUUUCAUCACAUGAGAAAACAGUAAGUCCGAUGUAUUAUGUGAUUAGAUCACGUUUAUACAGCUAGUAAGUGCGAUAGCAUUAAGUGAGCCGGAGUCGCUUCAAUGCCAAAUCCUUUGAUCUUUCCGUUGUAUUGACAUCUCUACAGUGUAUUCAGUAGAACGGGUGUUUCAAUAGGGAAAAGAUUUGUUGACCAAACGAGUUUUGAAAGUGUUGUAUAUUAUGAU